This 1089-nucleotide long non-coding RNA is filed under the name Eutrema salsugineum. RNAcentral describes it as "long non-coding RNA (ESAL_LNC000758)". Lineage: Eukaryota; Viridiplantae; Streptophyta; Magnoliopsida; Brassicales; Brassicaceae. The record is from RNAcentral.
CUGGCGGUCCAACAUCGUGGAUUCAUUUAUCCAGUGUAACGAUUUACUAUAGAGAGCUACCGGCUGCUGUGAAAGUGUUGUUAUUGUGCAAUUUAUAUUGUCUAAUGUUGCACAAUGAAGUAUAUUUACAAGACAUUUAUGUGUGCAGGCUGUGGAUAACGGUGUUUAUACUGUUUUUAUCCUUAGUUACUUAACUUAUUUAUGUUUGUUUAAAAUCUCUGGUUUUUUUUCUCAGAUUUAUAUGAAAAAUGAGAAAAUAAAUUUAUUAGAUGUUUAUGGCUAUUUGCUUAUGCUGAUUCAAAUUCUAUGUUAAUUUGAGAAAUGAGAAUAUAAACUAUUUUAGAAUCGGUCUUUUUCAGGUCUGGUUUGUAGAUCUGACUUUUCCCUAGCUACUCGGUUAUAGCGGUGAUGGGAUAUCUCUCUAUGGUGGCUCCUUAAUCAACAGUGGCGCAGGCUCAGUGGCAUUCUGGGUUCGUGGUGGCGGACGGGUGUAUUCCCAACAGCAUUCCUUUCGGUGUCCGCUUUGUCAUAUCUACCGGCGAUGUCUCCUUGCUCACCGGAGUUUUCCUCUCUUUGGGUUUGGUUUUCCUUUCUCGAGCUCCUCCUGCCAGGUCAGCGUGCGCUUUGUUCUCGUGGGGUGGUGGCAGUCAGCCUUAUCUAAGUUUCUGAGGCGGCGGUGUGGUGGCUAGUAGAUAUGAGACCCUCAACUCUUGGCAGUGGCGAUCAUGGGCCAUAAGGACGGGCUCAUAUUUUCUGUCAUUUGUUGUUGAGGCUUUUGUCUCAUGGCUAGCCUCAGAGUGGUGGCUUGCGUCUUUUCUUGGUUCAUGUGGCUCUACCGGUGAGUUAUCUGAGACAGAAGGUGGUAGGCGAUGUGGCUCGGAUAAAUGUCUCCAUGGUGGAGAGAUUUUUUGUUCUUCUUCUCUUCCGAGUGACCCAAAUUCAUUCAUCGGUGGUGUGCGGUAACUGCAGCAUGCCGCUGUGCCAAGGUCUCUUCAGGCUCCUGCGCUGGUUUACAAGGAGGUUUGGUUUGUUGUAUAGGCAGUGAGGCUUAGGAUGAGGCCCCUUUACUCCUGUCUUUGUAGACUUUGG